This 468-nucleotide ribosomal RNA is filed under the name uncultured bacterium. RNAcentral's name for it is "partial 16S ribosomal RNA". It matches the Rfam family "Bacterial small subunit ribosomal RNA", at positions 28 to 507 of the family's 1533-position model. The record is from RNAcentral.
GACGAACGCUGGCGGCGUGCUUAACACAUGCAAGUCGAACGGAAAGGCCCUGCUUUUGUGGGGUGCUCGAGUGGCGAACGGGUGAGUAACACGUGAGUAACCUGCCCUUGACUUUGGGAUAACUUAAGGAAACUGGGGCUAAUACCGGAUAGGAGCUCCUGCUGCAUGGUGGGGGUUGGAAAGUUUCGGCGGUUGGGGAUGGACUCGCGGCUUAUCAGCUUGUUGGUGGGGUAGUGGCUUACCAAGGCUUUGACGGGUAGCCGGCCUGAGAGGGUGACCGGCCACAUUGGGACUGAGAUACGGACCAGACUCCUACGGGAGGCAGCAGUGGGGAAUAUUGCACAAUGGGCGGAAGCCUGAUGCAGCAACGCCGCGUGCGGGAUGACGGCCUUCGGGUUGUAAACCGCUUUCGCCUGUGACGAAGCGUGAGUGACGGUAAUGGGUAAAGAAGCACCGGCUAACUACGUG